Molecule: RNA transcript, 1253 nt
Organism: Mandrillus leucophaeus (drill)
Lineage: Eukaryota; Metazoa; Chordata; Mammalia; Primates; Cercopithecidae
Exons: 2
Source: RefSeq, a predicted model, not a curated record
AUGAUUUUGAUAAAGUCUAGCGACUGUGGCCGUCGGCCUGACCGUCUUUGUGCUUUCUGUCAUCACUAUCAUCAUCUGCUUCACCUGCUCCUGCUGCUCCCUCUACAAGAUGUGUCGCUGACCGCGUCCAGUUGUGACCACCACCAUGUCCCCCACUGUGGUGCAUGCCCCUUACCUUCAGCCUCCAAGUGUGCCACCUAGCUACCCUGGACUACCAGGGCUACCACCCCAUGCCCCCCUCCCCCAGCCAGGAAUGCCAGCAGCACCCUACCCAAUGCAGUACCCAUCACCUUACCUGGCCCAGCCCACGGGCCCGCCAGCCUACCUCGAGGCCCUGGCUAGAGGAGCAGCCACACCCUACCCUACCAGCCAGCCUCCUUCCAACCCGGCCUACAUGGAUGCCUCGAAGGCGGCCCCCUGAGCGUGCCCUGGCCUCUCUGGCUGCCACUUGUUCAUGUCAUGUGUAUGUGAGUGGUGUGCAGGCACGGUUCCUUACACCCCGUGUGUGCUGUGUGUGUCCUGUCUGUAUAUGUGGCUUCAUAUGAUGCCUACUAGGUGGGGAGUGAUCCUUGCCAGAGUGGGCUGGGACCAGACUUUGUUCUCUUCCUCACCUGAAAUUAUGCUUCCUAGAAUCUCAAGUCAAACUUGAAGAAUGGAGUGGUGGGGGCACCCUGGGAGGUGGCCCCUGAGAGGUGGGGGGCUCUCCAGGGCACAUCUGGAGUUCUUUUCCAGCUUACCCUAGGGCGACAGAGUGCGGCCUGUCACACUAGGAUGGCGCAGCUUUCUGUGAGUAUUUUGCAGAUGUGUCCUGAUUUCAGCAGCAUAGCCAGCUGCCACUUGAGGCCAUAGCUUGUCCCCAGAGUUGGGGGUACCCUUUGCAGAGCCAGAGACAUAAUGCAGAUAAAGCUUGGGAUCUGACCAAGUUGGGCUUUGAUCCUUUGGGCCGAUGUCCCAUUGCUCCCUGGAGCCUGUGUCACGCCCACUGGGGGUCAGGCAGCCUCCUGAAGCCGGAACACCUCAGGCAGAGCCCUGCUCACCUGAAAGCUGUCUGCCUGGACUGUUCCUGUCCCUGCAUCCUCCCUGGGACCACCUGGAGGGCCACAUCCACACCCAGCCUAGCUGCCCACGGGGAGCUCUCCUGCCCUUGCUGGCCCUGCCCUUCCCACAGGUGAGCAGGGCGGCCUGUCCACCAGCACACUCAAGCCUCUUCCCUGCAGUGUUUUCAUUUGAUUUUAGCCAAACGCUUUGCCUAU